AGAAGACCAACGGACUUCUUGAAUUAUUUUAAAGUAAAGGAAACCCUUCUCAGAGUUUUCGAAAGUGACGGACAGGAAAAAGAAUACAUUUGAAAGGUUACUCUUUGGCGCCACGGAGAGGAGACGGAUGGAAGCAUUCUGAGGAAUAAUCCAGAAAUUAGCACCAAAAAGAACCGCGAUAGAAGGGACCUCCCCGGAGAGCUGAUUAAAAUGUUUCCUGUCGGAGAGCUGGCAGGGAUUGCUGCGCAAGAUGAAUGUGGUGUUGAUGGUCUCCAGUAUGAGCCCCCAUUGAUCAUAUUGUGGCUGGUGGCACGGGACCUGAGGAGACGGGCACUCAGGUUGCUAAUCAAUGCUGGAUCCUCUCACCCUUCCCCCUCCCACCAAUCCCAGCAUGAUCAAGUUGCUGAGUGCUCUGUGUGCCACUGAAAGACUACUAACUGACUGAGAGACGCAACAAUAUUGACCAAACAUUGAGGAAAAGGAUUUGGUAUCUUGAUGAAGGUGGUGUGUAACGUACAUAGGACCGGUCUGUUUCUGUUUGUGUGCUUUUCAUAGCUUAUGUCCGUCCACCUUAUCAGGUUUCCACAUGCUCAGUAAUUGCUCCUGUGGCCUCCAUACACUGGAUGGUUGAGAAACCACUCAUCUCUUUUGUGGUUUCAUGUUUGUUUUUAUACAUUUUCACGCUGAACAAUGGCUUUCUCCCCUGUGCAAUUUUUCAUGAUCUCUUCUCAUUUAAACUGAAGCAGUAGCCCACAGCACAUUUCAGGAUUUUACUGUGUUCAGUGUGAGAACAGUCCUUUGUUUUAACAAGUGAGAGAGUUGUUUAUACUAUAGUGCAGGGACAAAAGUAUCUAACCUGACAGAGCUCAAACACUGGUGCCAGAACAAAAGCAAAAGGUAUUUCUCCCAUGUUAAAACAUAAACAUUGUCUUUUGCCGUUGUUACAUUCAUGGCUUCUGCUGUUAUUGACCAGGUAGCAGCAGACAUGGUAACAACCACAUUAUAUCAUCGAACUAAGUCACUUCUAAUAAAAACUGCUCUCAUUUCCUCUCUAUUUCACAUCCAACCUGUUUGCAGUGGUUUAUGCUAGCUCUAUAUUUUCAUUGUUUCAGUAGAAAUGAAAAUGAAAACAGUUCACUGUGGCAGUACAGAUAUAUAUUUUUGUAGGGUGUUUAUAAUAGAUAUAUGUUGUAAUUGUUUUUCCUGCAAAUUCUUUAAAUGCUCUAAUUCUGUGACACAUUCUGGGUGGGAGUAACUGCAGAAGCUCUGGUGUGGAUGUUAUUGUGGUGGAGUUCUGCGUCACUGGUGUUCUAGAAAGCGCUGAUCUUUGUGAAGUGAUACAAUGUCGCUGCCCGGAACAUCAGAGGGAUGCCUGUAAUGGCUAUGUUGACUGGCCCCUGACACUAUGACCUUGUGAUCCUGGGUCAUUGAAACUGUGGUGACAGCUUCCAUGGCAACAGAGCACUUAAUGUGGGGAGAAUGGGCUCCAGGCACUGAAGUGGAGGGGAGGGGGU
Molecule: long non-coding RNA, 1514 nt
Organism: Anguilla rostrata (American eel)
Lineage: Eukaryota; Metazoa; Chordata; Actinopteri; Anguilliformes; Anguillidae
Exons: 4
Source: RefSeq, a predicted model, not a curated record